Molecule: long non-coding RNA, 1255 nt
Organism: Fopius arisanus
Lineage: Eukaryota; Metazoa; Arthropoda; Insecta; Hymenoptera; Braconidae
Exons: 3
Source: RefSeq, a predicted model, not a curated record
AGAAGGAAGAGCGUUAGCUCAACAAGGCAGAAGAGCCUAGAGUGGGAAAAAUAAUAAAAAAAAUCCACCAAUCGUGUCCUUGAGCCUGGGAUCAACCCUCACCCCAGAGGACAUCAAAGAAGGAGACGACGUUUACUUCGAGUGUCACAUUAACGCAAAUCCGGCGAUAUCAAAACUCAUCUGGAUCCACAACGAGAGAGCAGAAAGGACCAAUCUUAAAAGCUCUGGAUCUUCAUCGUCAAUUUUCCGUAUGAAUUCAGUGGAGUGUGUGAUGUCAUUUGAUGUUCCGAGAAUUUCUGGAUUGAGGCGAGUGGGUGGGAGGGACUCUGAGGAAACAAUUUGCCAGUAGGAUAGAACGGAAAAAAUGGGUCAAGUUGGCGGAAUUUAUUAUGAUUGCUAAUUCAUCACGAUGAAAACGCUGGAGGAAAAAUCUCCGACUAAAUUUUAGGAGAGAGACUAAUAAACUAUAAACACAGACGUGAGGUAUUCUUAGAUAUUUUUCAAGAUAGAAAAGAAUAUUUUUACAUGUUUCCUUUUACUCUACCUUCUCUGCAUUUUUCUAACCAGAAAAACUGACAAUUCAACUAAUUAAGAAUGCAUUCUUAAUUAGUGCACGUGCAAUAAAAACAAAAAUUUAUGACCCUUCCUAUAAUUCGUUAUAUUUAUCGCAAUUAAUUUUCAAUUAAUUUACAAUGAAAUUUUUACCAUCGUCAUAAUUUAAAAAUCAUAUUUAAUUAUUUAUGUCUAAAAAUUGAGGCAUUAAAAGUGACUCAUUUUUAUCGGAUUGUCAUGCGUAUAUGUCCGUACAUAAACCGCUAUUUUGCUCGGAGGCAUUAGAAGAGAGAAACGAUCGUAAAAUAAAACGGGCGUAUCUCGAGAUACAUAAAAGAAAAGCUUUGAAAAUGAAGCGCAAAGAAAGCAUUGAGUAGAAUCGAGAUGGGUGAUUAAAUACCGCAUUCGUUUCCCAGAGAAUGUACAAUUGAGAAAAGCCGUAACGAGCCGUAUUGAUCAGACAAUCCAAUUAUCGGUAUUCUCUAAGUGUUAAAUGUCUUCAACUUCUUUUUAUUUUUAUUUAUUUUUUAUCAUUAAAAUUAUGGCUCUCCAAGACUGAUCAUCAAUCGCCGAUUUAAAAAUUUUACUAAUCCAUUUGUUAUUCUCAGUAAAUUAUCGUUGGGCAGAGGACAGCUUAUUUUUCAAUGGCAACUUAUGAUUUUUGAAGAUUUCAUUGUAUUUUUUACUUUCUGAAUUUUGAAUU